This 253-nucleotide ribosomal RNA is filed under the name uncultured bacterium. RNAcentral's name for it is "partial 16S ribosomal RNA". It matches the Rfam family "Bacterial small subunit ribosomal RNA", at positions 524 to 776 of the family's 1533-position model. The record is from RNAcentral.
UACGUAGGGUGCGAGCGUUGUCCGGAAUUAUUGGGCGUAAAGAGCUCGUAGGCGGUUUGUCACGUCUGCUGUGAAAUCCCGAGGCUCAACCUCGGGCCUGCAGUGGGUACGGGCAGACUGGAGUGCGGUAGGGGAGAAUGGAAUUCCUGGUGUAGCGGUGGAAUGCGCAGAUAUCAGGAGGAACACCCGUGGCGAAGGCGGCUCUCUGGGCCGAAACUGACGCUGAGGAGCGAAAGCGUGGGGAGCAAACAGG